Molecule: ribosomal RNA, 253 nt
Filed under: uncultured bacterium
Lineage: Bacteria
Description: partial 16S ribosomal RNA
Rfam family: Bacterial small subunit ribosomal RNA
Source: RNAcentral
UACAGAGGGGGCCAGCGUUAUUCGGAAUUAUUGGGCGUAAAGGGCGCGUAGGCGGCUUUGCGUGUCUUUCGUGAAAUCCCUCGGCUCAACUGAGGACGUGCGGAAGAAACUGCAGGGCUGGAGCCCGGGAGAGGAGGGUGGAAUUCCCAGUGUAGCGGUGAAAUGCGUAGAUAUUGGGAGGAACACCGGUGGCGAAGGCGGCCCUCUGGACCGGUACUGACGCUGAUGCGCGAAAGCGUGGGGAGCAAACGGG